CGGGGCGUAGCUCAGCUUGGUAGAGCGCGGUCUUUGGGUGGCCGAGGUCGCACGUUCAAAUCGUGUCGCCCCGA
Molecule: transfer RNA, 74 nt
Filed under: Mucisphaera calidilacus
Lineage: Bacteria; Pseudomonadati; Planctomycetota; Phycisphaerae; Phycisphaerales; Phycisphaeraceae
Description: Planctomycetes bacterium Pan265 tRNA-Pro
Rfam family: tRNA
About the family: Transfer RNA (tRNA) molecules are approximately 80 nucleotides in length. Their secondary structure includes four short double-helical elements and three loops (D, anti-codon, and T loops).
Source: RNAcentral